GCCGGAAUAGCUCAGUUGGUAGAGCAACUGAUUCGUAAUCAGUAGGUCGUCGGUUCAACUCCGAUUUCCGGCUCCA
RNAcentral lists this transfer RNA (76 nucleotides) under Pseudodesulfovibrio sp. zrk46. RNAcentral describes it as "tRNA-Thr". It matches the Rfam family "tRNA". Rfam says of the family: Transfer RNA (tRNA) molecules are approximately 80 nucleotides in length. Their secondary structure includes four short double-helical elements and three loops (D, anti-codon, and T loops). The record is from RNAcentral. Lineage: Bacteria; Pseudomonadati; Thermodesulfobacteriota; Desulfovibrionia; Desulfovibrionales; Desulfovibrionaceae.